Molecule: long non-coding RNA, 3126 nt
Filed under: Citrus x clementina
Lineage: Eukaryota; Viridiplantae; Streptophyta; Magnoliopsida; Sapindales; Rutaceae
Description: Citrus clementina (C. clementina) long non-coding RNA (CCLE_LNC006658)
Source: RNAcentral
GGGAUAAUGUUUCAAAUUUUAUUGACUAAUUUGCAUUAAACGCUUGGCUAAGCUCACUUAGAAGACCUUAGUUCAUACGGGAAUGUCUUGUAAAAUAAAUAUUAAUAAUGGAGUAAUAAUCAGUUUAGAAGGUUCAUAAAUCCAUAUAGAUCCAAAACCAAUGUUCAUGUGUGCCGUAAGGUCACUAAUAAUGCGCUAGUCACGACCCUUACAGGAAAUCUUUAAGAAUAUCGCUUGUCCAUGUGUGCCUCUCACCAUUGUCCUUCCCCCCAAAACAAGAAACAACCUUCUGUUCUUGAUGAAUUCCCCAACACCCUAGUUCCAGUGCCUUAAGCCCUAACAUAUCCACACUGCAGUAUCUUUCGCUCCACACAUCAUAACAUGUCCUAUCCACAAACCAGUCACGUAAAUAACUCAUAAAGGUCCAAAUUGCUACAAUUAGGGUUCCAUUCUAUUGGCGGCCCUGUACUGUCCCAAACUUCAGGGCGGUUCUCAUGCCCUUGGCUCUCUGUUAUUUACUAGUAGAAUAUGCUUCCACAUCACUAUUUAUAAUUGAAUAAUGUUAGGAUCCCAAUAUUAAAUCUUAACUAAUGUAACAUUCAUUCAUUAGAAGGUAGAAUAAAAUAAUAAAUAAAUUACAUUCAAUUGAAUGAUAGAAUAGGGUAAUGAGUAAGUUUACAUUCAUCAUUUGAUGAAUAAGUGAUAUAUAGUACCAAAACUCAAUAUUUGAGAUUUGUAGCAUCCAUUAUUAUACUCAAUUUAUGAUCCACAAGUCAAAACCAGUCGAAGUUUUAAUAUAAGAUUUUCGGACCAGGCCAGAUUAAAGUGAAAAUCAUCCAGCCAAUCCACAUAGGAUACGUGGCAAAGUGAAAAUCCCAUGACAACACCUAAAAAAAUAUAACCGAGUAUUCAUAUAUACCAAAUUGGAUGGAAUGAUUCAAGUUUGGUCCAGUUCGAUUCAGUUUUCCGAUUCAUUGUACCCUCAAUAAUUUCAAGUAUUUUCCCUUUAAAUUGAAAUUGGAACGCCACGAAAACACAUGUUAUUGAUAAGUAUGGUGGUGUCAUUAUCAGUCAACAAGCAAUUAAGCACCAAAGAGAUACAUAUAUCUCUAUAGCUGUAUACAACUGUACAUAUAAACAGCUGAGAGUACAAUAAUGAUAAGAUUAAUCUAGAUGAUUGACGGCCACUGGUUUAUCCAUUGUUGGAUUCUAUUUGGUGGAUGAUUAUCCCAAUAAGGAUAUACCGAAAGCCAAACUCAUAAGUGCUUUUCCUCUAGUGAUUAUUUUGCUAAAUGAGGUGUACUUUAGACUUUAGAGCAUGAUUUGUUAAGGUUUUGGUAGUGCCGCCAGUUAAGCACUGGUUUGUCAUUUUCAAAUAUUCCAAAAUUAUCACCAAGAAGUGCCAACACUUGAGUUGAGCAUAUGAAUUGACUUUAAUUUAUAUUGUCACUCCAACUCUUAAUGGUUCCACAACCUAUCGUUAACCAUUUUGUAGGGCCCUUUUUUGCCCUUUCUUUCUUUCAUGCAAAUGGACUUCCUUGAUAUGCAAUACUUUUAAAAAAUAAAUAAAUAAAUAAUGAAACUUAAUCUCAUUUCGUUAUAUAUAAUAUAUCGCACAACAAAUAAUGAUCAUCAAACUGAUUUUCUAUAUAUCUUUGAUUAUCUCCAACAUACACAGUUAAAUUCAUAUGUUGUUUGCAUGUAUGAAUUAGACUUAUAAAUUUUUAUAUCACGUGAUAGGGAUACGUUGAGAGAAUAGUUUUUGAAGGGGUUGCAAUAUACCUUCACACGUAUUUUUGAUUUGUGGAGAACUUAUGAUGCUUGCUGAUUUUGAAUCCGCUGAGGUGGGUACUUGAAAAAGGCACUCCAAUACCUAAGUUAGUGUUUGAUUAAAAUUUAAGGGAAGAAGAACAAUGAAUAAGACUAAGUUUUUUCUCUUUUUUUUUUUUGGAUAAAUCCCAUUCUUUUGGGCCAAGGGUCCCUAUUUAUAAAUGAUGGGUGACAUGAGUUUAGAGUUUUGCGUUGGGCUCUCUCCCUAAUGACAAGUGUCUCCCACCAUUAUUACACAUGUGGAUGUGAAUUUGAUGGUAGGGAAAUAAAUAUAUUUAUUCCGUACCUAUGUCAUUUAUUCCAUGCGUAUAUGCUUUCUUAUUCUUAUGAUUUUGGGCGUGGCCCCCUCGGACCCUGGAAUUCGGAACUAGAAUGAAUUUUCUUCUUCUAGUUAUUUUCGUAAGUUCCUAUUUUAUCCCGAAUAUUACUCCACCGGAUUAGAUUCUAUAUUAUUUAUUUAUUUAUUUUUCUGGAAUAGCUUCUUUCUUUCUUUUUUGUAUGGACAUGUGGCAUAAUUUGAUGCCUCUAAAGCAUGGCACAUACAGUUUUCAAGUGCAUUAUUUAGGUUUAGACAAACCUAAACUCUUGAGUUAGUUUUUAAGCUUUUGGUUAGGCUUAUAAAUUUCUACAUAUAGUGCCAUGCAUAAGUGAGGUCACACUACAUUUCAUAUGACAUUGACCCAUCUAAAUGUGAUAGAAGGUGUAAGGGAAAAAUUCCAUAUGGAAUGGGAAUAAUUCCUAAGCUAAUGAGGGGGCCCUAAAUUAUGAGCUAAUUGAUUUUUAGAUAUUAUGCACUAGGCCCACGAUUUUCCCUAAUAGCAAAUUAACGUGGGUUUUUGGGUUGAAGAAAGAAGAGAUCUCAAAAGUAGAAGUUGAAAGACAAAUAUUCAAUCAGUUAAAAACGAGGAUAAUAACACUACCAAUAAAAAUGUACACAAACAAAAACAAAAUUAAGUUAUAAGGAAAUUUAGUGGCAGUAAAAAAAGCAGAGAUAUAUGUAUUAAAUGAAUCUAGCUAAAAACAAAAGUUAAUUUUGUUAUUACAAUAAAAUCUCUAUAAAUUAAUAAUGUCCAGAUCCUACAAAAUCUAUUAAUUUAAAGAGGUAUCAAUUAAUUGAUAAAUUAAUAAUUUAUUAAUUUAAAAAUUUGAUAUACAAUUCAGUGAAUUUUAUUCAACUAAUAACUUAUUGUGUUUUACCAAUCUAAUCAAUUAAACUUGAAUUAAUUCACUAAAUAAAAUUUUUGCAAUUUCAAAUUCAACCCCAUAACUUCUAGGAAACAUAAGAAAAUUAGAGAU